AAAAAUUCACAAGAAACAUUGUCCAAAAGACAUAUGCUGUUAACUUAUGUUCCAGCAUUCAUUUCAUAAAACAUUGUCCUAACAAGUCAUAAGAUGCAAUCCUAUAUUAUAUCAAGGCCAUUAUCACAUUAUAUAGAUUAUGAUUUCAGCAGUCAUAAUUUUAGUUUUAUCUCUGUGCAUAAGGAGAUGAUAAAACUAAAAAAUUUUAUCUUUCUGUAUAAAGAAAAAGAACUUUUUAAUGAACUUUCCUUAAGGACUUUGUUAAUACUUUGUUCUCAGAGGAAAUUGCACUUGACACAAUGGAAGAAUUGGCAAGAAAGGUGAAUAAAUUAAUAAAAGUCAAAACACUUCGUGUCUUGCUGGAAUGUUAAAAAGGUUGUCCAAGGUGGUUUGUCUGCUAUGUGACCAUAAACAACUACUUUCUUUUACUUGCCUUAAGACCAAUGAUUGAUAAAAUCUCUUUCUCACUCUACAGUUUAGAAAUAAAAAUAGCAAGAUGGUAUAUUAGGAUAAUGAAAAGACACAAAAACUUAGUAAAUUCAGCAUAGGAGUUUGUUGGUAAGAUCUCAUUUGGACUAUGUAUCUCUUAUCUUCUGAUACAAUUGCUCCCACCUGCCUUAUGCUGUAUAAUUUUAUGCUAGAAAUCAAGCAGUGCUGGCUAAGAUUAACUUCUUAUAGAUGUCUGUCAUUUGAUUGCCUACAAUUCAUAUUUUUUGCAGAAAGUACAAUAGGUAGAAGAGUGUACCUAUUGGUGGCUCCUUGGCAGGUAUUAUGGCAAAAUUAGUAAUCAGGUUUAAAUAGUGUCAAAUAUUAAAAGAUUUUAUACCCAGACAUAAGAUUGUGUGAGGUACAUGGAUGACCUAUGUAUUAUUUGGAAGAAUGGAAAGACUACAAGAAAUUCAACAGUUAAAAAAUGACUUGUUAGGAUUGUUUUUGAAAUUAAGACAACAAGGAAUACUUAUCUUCAAGGAAAAUACUGAAAUCAAAUCUAAUACUGCCAAAUUAAUCCCUUGAUAAAAUCAAAUUGUUACAACAAAUAUCAUUAUAAUGGAAUUUUUGACCUAAAUUUAUAAUGAAGCCUCUGCACACAACCCAUAAAAGACAAUGCUAGAAGAAUUUUGCUACAACAGAAUCUGUUAUAAAAAAUUCAUUAAAAUUAACCUUUUCUGGAAACCCAAUCACUGUAUAACAAAAUUUCUGUUUUCUGUUCCAGUAACUUCAUCAGUUCCCACUAUGAUCAAUGGUCUCUGUGCCGCUGGAUUGGCCACAUAAAAAUGCUUUGGCUUCCCACUCUGGAGGACCCAGAUUCGAGUCUCAGCUCUCACUUCUUGAAAAUAUUUAUCAUAGGGUCCAACCUGCUGAUUCUCAUCCUCCAUAAUCUAGCUGAUAUCUCAGCAAAGAUGGAUUAAUAAUCUUUCAAAAUGGGAAGUGGCAUCAAGUGCCAUCAUCUGUUGAUAAAAAAAAAAAAAAGGUCUCUGUACACCCAACUCUUAGAAUAUUCCAAAUCUCU
RNAcentral lists this long non-coding RNA (1510 nucleotides) under Androctonus crassicauda. Lineage: Eukaryota; Metazoa; Arthropoda; Arachnida; Scorpiones; Buthidae. The record is from RNAcentral.